RNAcentral lists this ribosomal RNA (468 nucleotides) under uncultured bacterium. RNAcentral's name for it is "partial 16S ribosomal RNA". It matches the Rfam family "Bacterial small subunit ribosomal RNA", at positions 28 to 507 of the family's 1533-position model. The record is from RNAcentral.
GGCGAACGCUGGCGGCAUGCUUAACACAUGCAAGUCGAACGGAAAGGCCCUACUUUUGUGGGGUGCUCGGGUGGCGAACGGGUGAGUAACACGUGAGUAACCUGCCCUUGACUUUGGGAUAACUUCAGGUAACUGGGGCUAAUACCGGAUAGGAUCUCCUGCUGCAUUGUGGGGAUUGGAAAGUUUCGGCGGUUGGGGAUGGACUCGCGGCUUAUCAACUUGCUGGUGGGGUAGUGGCUUACCAAGGCUUUGACGGGUACCCGGCCUGAGAGGGUGACCGGCCACAUUGGUACUGAGAUACGGCCCAGACUCCUACGGGAGGCAGCAGUGGGGAAUAUUGCACAACGGGCCGAAGCCUGAUGCAGCAACGCCGCGUGCGGGAUGACGGCCUUCGGGUUGAAAACCGCUGUCGCCUGUGACGAAGCGGUAGUGACGGUAAUGGGUAAAGAAGCACCGGCUAACAACGUG